This 253-nucleotide ribosomal RNA is filed under the name uncultured bacterium. RNAcentral describes it as "partial 16S ribosomal RNA". It matches the Rfam family "Bacterial small subunit ribosomal RNA", at positions 524 to 776 of the family's 1533-position model. The record is from RNAcentral.
UACGGGGGGGGCAAGCGUUGUUCGGAAUUACUGGGCGUAAAGGGCUCGUAGGUGGCCAACUAAGUCAGACGUGAAAUCCCUCAGCUUAACUGGGGAACUGCGUCUGAUACUGGAUGGCUUGAGUUUGGGAGAGGGAUGCGGAAUUCCAGGUGUAGCGGUGAAAUGCGUAGAUAUCUGGAGGAACACCGGUGGCGAAGGCGGCAUCCUGGACCAACACUGACACUGAGGAGCGAAAGCCAGGGGAGCGAACGGG